Molecule: ribosomal RNA, 440 nt
Filed under: uncultured bacterium
Lineage: Bacteria
Description: partial 16S ribosomal RNA
Rfam family: Bacterial small subunit ribosomal RNA
Source: RNAcentral
CCUACGGGUGGCAGCAGUGGGGAAUAUUGCACAAUGGGGGAAACCCUGAUGCAGCGACGCCGCGUGAGUGAAGAAGUAUUUCGGUAUGUAAAGCUCUAUCAGCAGGGAAGAAAAUGACGGUACGUGAUUAAGAAGCCCCGGAUAACUACGUGCCAGCACCCGCGGUAAUACGGAGGGGGCAAGCGUAAUACGGAUUUACUGGGUGUAAUGGGAGCGUAGACGGGAGCACAAGUCUGGAGUGAAAUGCCGGGGCUUAACCCCGGACCUGCUUUGGAAACUGUGGAGCUAGAGUGCAGGAGAGGUAAGUGGAAUUCCUGGUGUAGCGGUGAAAUGCGUAGAUAUUAGGAGGAACACCAGUGGCGAAGGCGGCUUACUGGCCUGUAACUGACGUUGAGGCUCGAAAGCGUGGGGAGCGAACAGGAUUAGAUACCCCUGUAGUC